UACGUAGGGUGCAAGCGUUAAUCGGAAUUACUGGGCGUAAAGCGUGCGCAGGCGGUUUUGUAAGUCUGACGUGAAAUCCCCGGGCUCAACCUGGGAAUUGCGGUGGAGACUGCAAGGCUAGAAUCUGGCAGAGGGGGGUAGAAUUCCACGUGUAGCAGUGAAAUGCGUAGAGAUGUGGAGGAACACCGAUGGCGAAGGCAGCCCCCUGGGUCAAGAUUGACGCUCAUGCACGAAAGCGUGGGGAGCAAACAGG
Molecule: ribosomal RNA, 253 nt
Filed under: uncultured bacterium
Lineage: Bacteria
Description: partial 16S ribosomal RNA
Rfam family: Bacterial small subunit ribosomal RNA
Source: RNAcentral